Molecule: long non-coding RNA, 815 nt
Filed under: Coffea arabica (coffee)
Lineage: Eukaryota; Viridiplantae; Streptophyta; Magnoliopsida; Gentianales; Rubiaceae
Description: long non-coding RNA (CARA_LNC005451)
Source: RNAcentral
AGCUCGCAUUCGCUACUCAAUCUGAGCACAAAGCCAGAGCUCCCAAUCGCCAUUCAAAUUUGUCUCACUCUCUCUUCACUCUCUCCAUCCAGCUCACUCCUCACUCUCUCCUCUUUUGUUGAGCUUCCAUCUUUCUCGUCAGGCGAAAUCUUGGUCACAACUUUGUCGUCGGAAUCUCGCGGCCUUCUCGUCGGAAGCUCUUCUCUUUUGUAGAGCUGUAGCCGUUCUCAUCAGGCGAAAUCUGGGCACAACUUUCUCGUCGGAAGCGUCGGAAGAUCUCGGCCAUUGUAGAGCUUGGACCCCUCUUCGGAACCCAUCUCUGCUAGCCAGCUGCGCCUCUCUUCCCCCUCCCAAUUUGCCACUUUUACAACCACAACAGGACUCCCCAACCAAUUUUGUGUCCCAUUUGCACUGCACAUUUUCUUUCACUUGGCAAAUGGCUUUCAAAUUCGUGGCUGUGCUCUGUUGCUUAGAAACAGCAUAAGGUAUGAAUUUCUUUUUUUUUCUGAUUUUCUUUUAUUUUUCUGGGGUUUUUCUUUUCUGAAUUGAAUUGGCUUUUCUGAUUUGGCAAUUUAUUGGGCGUUGUUGUUGUUUCGGCUUGUUGUAUUUGCUUUUCUGAUUUGGCAAUUUUUCGGUUUGUCUCUUAUUCGUGGCCGUUGGUGUAAUUUGUUGAUGCAUUUGGUCUCCUGUUUGAGGACUGUUGCGGUUGCAUCCACAUACUUUUUCUUUUAUUUUGAUUAAUUUUGCUGGAGGUUAGCAGUUAGCUAUUGCUUUCAUGUGGAGGCAGCAUGGGAUUAACGUGGAUCAAUAUUGUA